This 318-nucleotide ribosomal RNA is filed under the name Triticum aestivum (bread wheat). RNAcentral describes it as "partial small subunit ribosomal RNA". Lineage: Eukaryota; Viridiplantae; Streptophyta; Magnoliopsida; Poales; Poaceae. The record is from RNAcentral.
AUGCCGCUUCACGGCCGUAUUUGGAGUGAGAUUGCUAAUUGGCUAGCUAUCCUGGAUUUCUCAACUUUGGCUACGGCAAAUGCCACCUCGCUGAGAGGUUGGUGCACCGACACGGUGAACAAUUCAAUACCGCACUGGAAGGCUCUCACUUCGUUGAUGAUGUUGAUAUCUUGGGAAAUUUGGAAGGAACACAACGCAAGAGCUUUCCGCAACACCUCCGCACCCACCAUGGUGAUUGUCGGGAGGAUCAAGGACGAGGCCCAUCUACGGGCGUUAGCGGGCGCGAAAUACUUGUGUAAUGUAAUCUCGCGGGAGUAG